Molecule: ribosomal RNA, 536 nt
Filed under: uncultured Glomeraceae
Lineage: Eukaryota; Fungi; Glomeromycota; Glomeromycetes; Glomerales; Glomeraceae
Description: SSU rRNA
Rfam family: Eukaryotic small subunit ribosomal RNA
Source: RNAcentral
UUGGAGGGCAAGUCUGGUGCCAGCAGCCGCGGUAAUUCCAGCUCCAAUAGCGUAUAUUAAAGUUGUUGCAGUUAAAAAGCUCGUAGUUGAAUUUCGGGGUCAAUAAGUUGGUCGUGCCAAUGGUAUGCACUGGCUUUAUUGAUUCCUACCUCUUGACGAACUGUGAUGCCAUUAAUUUGGUGUCGCAAGGAAUCAGGACUGUUACCUUGAAAAAAUUAGAGUGUUUAAAGCAGGCUUACGCUUGAAUACAUUAGCAUGGAAUAAUGAAAUAGGACGUUUGAACCUAUUUUGUUGGUUUCUAGGAUCGACGUAAUGAUUAAUAGGGAUAGUUGGGGGCAUUAGUAUUCAAUUGUCAGAGGUGAAAUUCUUGGAUUUAUUGAAGACUAACUACUGCGAAAGCAUUUGCCAAGGAUGUUUUCAUUAAUCAAGAACGAAAGUUAGGGGAUCGAAGACGAUCAGAUACCGUCGUAGUCUUAACCAUAAACUAUGCCGACUAGGGAUCGGAUGAUGUUAAUUUUUUAAUGUACUCAUUCGGC